CCAAUAGCGUAUAUUAAAGUUGUUGCAGUUAAAAAGCUCGUAGUUGAACUUCGGGGUUUACCCAUUGGUCAGGCUUAAUUGUCUGCACUGGUGAGAUGAAUCUCUACCUUCUGAGGAACUUUCAUGCCAUUUAUUUGGUGUGAUGGGAAAUCAGGACUGUUACUUUGAAAAAAUUAGAGUGUUUAAAGCAGGCUAACGUCUGAAUACAUUAGCAUGGAAUAAUGAAAUAGGACGGACUGAUUCUAUUUCGUUGGUUUCUAGGAUCACCGUAAUGAUUAAUAGGGAUAGUUGUGGGCAAUAGUAUUCAAUUGUCAGAGGUGAAAUUCUUGGAUUUAUUGAAGACUAACUACUGCGAAAGCAUUUGCCAAGGAUGUUUUCAUUAAUCAAGAACGAAAGGUAGGGGAUCGAAGACGAUCAGAUACCGUCGUAGUCUUAACCAUAAACUAUGCCGACUAGGGAUCGGACGAAGUUAAUUUUAUAAUGACGCGUUCGGCACCUUACG
Molecule: ribosomal RNA, 502 nt
Filed under: uncultured Glomeromycotina
Lineage: Eukaryota; Fungi; Glomeromycota
Description: partial small subunit ribosomal RNA
Rfam family: Eukaryotic small subunit ribosomal RNA
Source: RNAcentral